CCUACGGGAGGCUGCAGUGGGGGAUAUUGCACAAUGGGGGAAACCCUGAUGCAGCGACGCCGCGUGAGUGAAGAAGUAUUUCGGUAUGUAAAGCUCUAUCAGCAGGGACGAAAAAAGACGGUAGCUGACUAAGAAGCCCCGGCUAACUACGUGCCAGCAGCCGCGGUAAUACGUAGGGGGCAAGCGUUAUCCGGAUUUACUGGGUGUAAAGGGAGCGUAGACGGGAAGGCAAGCCAGAAGUGAAAGGGCAGGGCUCAACCCUGUACAUGCUGUUGAAACUGUGGUGCUAGAGUGCAGGAGAGGUAAGUGGAAUGCCUGGUGUAGCGGUGAAAUGCGUAGAUAUUAGGAGGAACACCAGGGGCGAAGGCGACUUACUGGACUGUAACUGACACUGAGGCACGAAAGCGUGGGGAGCAAACAGGAUUAGAUACCCGAGUAGUC
RNAcentral lists this ribosomal RNA (441 nucleotides) under uncultured bacterium. RNAcentral describes it as "partial 16S ribosomal RNA". It matches the Rfam family "Bacterial small subunit ribosomal RNA", at positions 338 to 795 of the family's 1533-position model. The record is from RNAcentral.